This 253-nucleotide ribosomal RNA is filed under the name uncultured bacterium. Its description in RNAcentral is "partial 16S ribosomal RNA". It matches the Rfam family "Bacterial small subunit ribosomal RNA", at positions 524 to 776 of the family's 1533-position model. The record is from RNAcentral.
UACGGAGGGUGCAAGCGUUAUCCGGAUUCACUGGGUUUAAAGGGUGCGUAGGUGGGUUGGUAAGUCAGUGGUGAAAUCUCCGGGCUCAACUCGGAAACUGCCGUUGAUACUAUCAAUCUUGAAUAUUGUGGAGGUAAGCGGAAUAUGUCAUGUAGCGGUGAAAUGCUUAGAUAUGACAUAGAACACCAAUUGCGAAGGCAGCUGGCUACACAAAUAUUGACACUGAGGCACGAAAGCGUGGGGAUCAAACAGG